GAAAGGCAGGUGUCUCUUCGGAGCAGGGAGACAGGUGGUGCAUGGUUGUCGUCAGCUCGUGUCGUGAGAUGUUGGGUUAAGUCCGCAACGAGCGCAACCUUAUCCUUAGUUACCAGCACGUAAAGGUGGGGACUCUAAGGGAGACCGCCGGGGACGACUCGGAGGAAGUGGGGACGACGUCAAAUCAUCAUGCCCCUUAUGUCUUGGGCUACACACGUGCUACAAUGGCCGCAACAGAGGGAAGCGAGAGCGCAAGCUGGAGACAAAACCCUAAAAAGCGGUCCCAGUUCGGAUUGUGGGCUGCAACCCGCCCACAUGAAGUCGGAGUUGCUAGUAAUCGCGAAUCAGCAUGUCGCGGUGAAUGCGUUCCCGGGCCUU
This 378-nucleotide ribosomal RNA is filed under the name uncultured Lachnospiraceae bacterium. RNAcentral describes it as "bacterial SSU rRNA". It matches the Rfam family "Bacterial small subunit ribosomal RNA", at positions 1003 to 1382 of the family's 1533-position model. Lineage: Bacteria; Bacillati; Bacillota; Clostridia; Lachnospirales; Lachnospiraceae. The record is from RNAcentral.